RNAcentral lists this ribosomal RNA (253 nucleotides) under uncultured bacterium. RNAcentral describes it as "partial 16S ribosomal RNA". It matches the Rfam family "Bacterial small subunit ribosomal RNA", at positions 524 to 776 of the family's 1533-position model. The record is from RNAcentral.
UACGAACUGUGCGAGCGUUAUUCGGAAUUACUGGGCUUAAAGGGCGCGUAGGCGGCUUGCUAAGUAGGGUGUGAAAGCCCCCGGCUCAACCGGGGAAUUGCGCCCUAAACUGGCGAGCUGGAGUGAGAUAGGGGUGUGUGGAACUUCCGGUGGAGCGGUGAAAUGUGUUGAUAUCGGAAGGAACGCCGGUGGCGAAAGCGACACACUGGAUCUUGUCUGACGCUGAGGCACGAAAGCCAGGGGAGCGAACGGG